AGAGCGAACGCUGGCGGCAGGCCUAAUACAUGCAAGUCGAACGCACCUUCGGGUGAGUGGCGGACGGGUGAGUAACACGUGGGAACGUGCCUUUUGGUUCGGAAUAAUCCGGGGAAACCUGGCCUAAUACCGGAUGUGCCCUUCGGGGGAAAGAUUUAUCGCCAUUAGAGCGGCCCGCGUCUGAUUAGCUUGUUGGUGGGGUAAUGGCCCACCAAGGCUACGAUCAGUAGCUGGUCUGAGAGGAUGAUCAGCCACACUGGGACUGAGACACGGCCCAGACUCCUACGGGAGGCAGCAGUAGGGAAUCUUGCGCAAUGGGCGAAAGCCUGACGCAGCCAUGCCGCGUGAAUGAUGAAGGUCUUAGGAUUGUAAAAUUCUUUCAGCGGGGAAGAUAAUGACUGUACCCGCAGAAGAAGCUCCGGCUAACUUCGCGCCAGCAGCCGC
This 444-nucleotide ribosomal RNA is filed under the name uncultured bacterium. RNAcentral's name for it is "SSU rRNA". It matches the Rfam family "Bacterial small subunit ribosomal RNA", at positions 26 to 518 of the family's 1533-position model. The record is from RNAcentral.